CCAAGUCCAAAUCCUGUUAUCCAGGAAGCAGGUACGCAACCAGCAGACCCGUUCUUCCCGCAUCUUUCCAACUCCCCGUCAGUCUCCUACCAUGAGCCGUGAGGUGUGCAUGGCGGCGGCGUGCAUCAGUGGCUAGCCGGCUACAACACGGUGACGGCCUCUCACCACGGCCGCUGCUUCGCGGCGCUCCCUCGACGGUGUCAAUCAGCUUCAGCCCUUGAUCAACUGCGACCUGCACUGGCGCACCAUGUUCCGUUAGCGGCGGGGCAUUUCCAUGAGCCCGAGUGGAGGGAAGGCGGCAAGCCGGCAGCACUUGGAGGUGACGGUCUUCCACGACAGAGGUGCCAUCUGGGUAAUGAUCUGGCGGAUAUUGACAACUUCAGGAAGGAGAUGGCUGCUGACCUUAUUUUUGCUGAGGCAAACGAGGCUUAGGAUGUGAAAAAAGGCAUUCAAGAACUCAUGAAUCGGGAUGAAGACGAUGAUGUAGAUUCUCCAACUAUUUAGUUUAAGUCUUAGUUUGGGUCUCAGUUCCUAUAAAAGGUUGGAGUGGAGAGGCCUAGUUACAUAUUCUUUUUGGCUUGAAUGAAUGGACAUACAUUUUUUUUGCUUGAAUUUCAAUUAGGUCUAUUUAAGAAUUUGAAUGAUGCAUAUUAUUUGUGUGACUCCUUUUGGCUGCUCCCUGAUACUAAACUUUAUGAUCCUGAUCCCUGAUACUAAACUUUAU
Molecule: long non-coding RNA, 724 nt
Organism: Panicum virgatum (switchgrass)
Lineage: Eukaryota; Viridiplantae; Streptophyta; Magnoliopsida; Poales; Poaceae
Exons: 3
Source: RefSeq, a predicted model, not a curated record